Drosophila guanche is the source of this 7309-nucleotide long non-coding RNA. RefSeq lists it as uncharacterized. The transcript is spliced from 6 exons. Lineage: Eukaryota; Metazoa; Arthropoda; Insecta; Diptera; Drosophilidae. The record is from RefSeq and is a predicted model, not a curated record.
AUUGUCGCGACCUCGAAUCUUUGGAUCGCCUGGAGUCAACCAAGUAAAAGGAGGGGCCUCGAUUCACUAAUCACACCACAAUCCUGUAUGGCAGCCCCAGUUCUUCGGAGGAAUUGUGUACUGCGCUCCGAUUUACUUCCGAUUACAUUUCCUCGUAUUAAAUUGUUACAAUUUGCCGCUAACAAUAUGCCUUACGAAUUUGUGUUGUCAACAAUGGGAACAGAACACCCAGAUGCAUUGUGGCCAAGUGACAAAUGGGGUUUGGUCUCUUUUCGGUAAGAUCAAGCGAUCAAAACACACAACACAAAUAGGAGAAAAAAAGGGCCAAAUGGAGGAGGGUUGGGCUGCCGAAAGAAUUGCAUUAUCGUUUGUUUAGUGACUCCGUGUGCGCACUGCGCACCAUGGGAUGUCGAUGCCCAUACCGACGUGGAACAGUGUCCUUGCUGCGGCUGAUAAUGUCAUUACCUGGGCACAGACGACGCAGACGCAAGAGCAAAUGAAAGCCAAGCCUGCCUUGCCCUGGUCACCGCAUGACGUCACCAGGGCCUGUGUGUGUUUUUUGUUUUUGUUUUUUGGGUCGCGUCGCAAACAUAAAGCGACAAAUUGACGCAAAACAUUUAACACACGGGCAGGACAGGACCCCGGACAUGGUCAAACAUGGUCCAUUGCCUUCGGUGGAGGUGGAGGAGGAUGGGACCAAAAGCAACAACUGCAGCGUUGGCGGCUUCCUCUCUAUGAGGCAUGGCCCGGCAUGGAAAAAAUUCCUUUGAAUUACGUCCGUUGCAGCAGAACCGCCACCACACCGCACACACAUGUGUGUGUGUGUGUGUGUGUGUCAGCUCUUGGCAAUGCGCAAAAAGGACAUCUCCGCCGGCGGUGGUGCCAGCUCAUAGCCUGCAUCCGUGUUGGUGGCCAGGCGGCAUCGGGCAGCGAAGCGGUGAGGCAUUGUAUGCCACUCUAUUAUGCAUUUCGUAGCUCCUACUGGCUCCGCCGUGUUGACAUUUUUAUUCCAAACAGUUGAGCAAUAUUUAUAAACUGAAGUCUGGCAAAAGUGGAAUUCAAAAGAGGGAGUUGCAGCCGCCUGGAGAGCAGUGGCAGUCGAAAUGGGAGAGCUCCUCCACAUUCUUUUGGCGCUCAUGUAAUCUUCCAUUUGAUUAACAUUUGUUUUUCAUCUUGCCUGCAGGCCAUGGCCAAGCGGCUAAGCUCAUUUCAUGGAUGCGGAUGGAUGGGAUUUGUUUGUCGGCACAGGCAAAAACAACACCUUGAAGCCCUGCGCAACCACUGACCGGCCAACGGAUCAUCUAAUUGAAUGACAAUAUUAUGCCAAGGCCUAAUUCAAUUUGCAUUUAGCUGGAGGGCAGCCGCAACGCAACGCGAAAACAGUUGCUUAAAUCUUAAACAAACACAGCAAUUACAGCAGAACGGAUGCACUUGCUGCCUGGACCUAUGCCUGCACCUCUACUGCUGGGGUUUUCGUCUAGCCAAAUGACUGCGACGAGGACUCUCCCUGGGACCCUGUAAUUAGUUCUGGGAUGAAACGAGAUGAGAAACGAGAGGAUGAGGUAUACGCCUCGGCCCUCUGACCUUUGUCGGCCUCAUCGGGGGUCCGGUUGCGCUGCCUAAUUACAGGGUAAUCAGGCUUUCAGCCGCUUUGGCUUUGGCGCUACCGUUUUGUGGGGGGCCUCAGCUAGAUGAUGAUUGAUUAGUGGCAUGGCGUGGCAUGGCCAUUCCCUAAGCUUAAGACUGUAAGAAUCUACCUCACAUCAGUGGCGUGGAUUGACAUCUGCCAGUAAAGUGCAUGGAAGGGAGCGCGUGCCAGCGGCAGCAACAAAGCAGCAAAAAGAAUGGAAAAGGAAAAAGUGCAAACAAGCAGCUGAAAGGCCAAAAGAGAGGAGCACUGAAAUGGAUAUGGAAAACAGCGAUAAGCGACAGAAAAAGCAAAUCGAAAACUGAUUUGGAGCGGAAGUUCGUUUGCACCUUUCCCAGCAGCAGCAGCAGCGGCAGCAGUUUCCUGUAUUUGCGAUGUCAAGAACAAUAAGAACACACACAACACACAGCGAAAAAGAGGGAGUACGAGUAAAAGUACGCACUGCCAAGACGUUAAGAAAUAAUCCAUGAAUCAGUGGAAAAUGUUCCAUCGGUACGUUCCACCUUGACGUUUUGGCCUUUGACGCCGUCUUUUGUCUUGAGAAUUGGAGUGCACACACAGUCACCGCCCGUUGGCUUUUGUAUUGCAAAAUCAAAAGCUGUACAUGCGACUCCAUUGCAUUGCCAUAUAUAGAUUAAGGAUAUGCUUUGCCUUGCCUUGCCUUGCCUGGCGUAUGUGUAUGCAAAGGAGCAAGGAGCAGCUGUCGUCUCCUUCUGUAUUUGAUUUGCGAUUUCUGAGGCAAGCGGAAAUGGAAUGACACGCGAGGCACUCCAGCACAGUCACUCCUCUCACAUUGUUUGGCAGCAGAUUGGCAAAAAUGGAGGCAAACGAACCUAAAAGAGAGCCAAACGAGCGAGUGAGCCGAGGCGAGCGAGGAGGCUUCCUGCCUUCCACUUGAGCCAUACGCAUUGUUUGACUGCGCUGUUCGAACUAGGACGUACCCGCGCGUACCUUUGAAGGGGCGUGCCGCCAAAUGGAGGAAGCAUAUGCCUCGAAAUCGGAUAUUGCUCUAAACAAUCCACAAAACACAACAAAAAACACAAACCAAACACAUUUCUAGACCCAAAGGCAGACUUUUCCAACCCACUGAGCAGCCGAAAUCUGACGAUUUCAGCUGCCACUGCCAUGGAGUAGGAGUAGGAGUGGAAGAGUAGGUGUAAACCUGAGCAACGCGUGUCCUAGGCUUAGAGAGGAGGAUGGCCACAGCUACGACCGUGGACUGAUGUCUCAUUAGCGUAUGGAUCGGGUCACAGGUUAAUGAUGUGCGCACCCCGUGCCUGCGCUUCCGCCUCGGACACAACACAAUUAUUCGAGGCACUUGAGCGAAGAACGCGGAAUGCAACAGCAGAAGCGGCAGCAGCAGUGGCACCUCCGAUGUAACUUCUUCUAAUUCAUUGACCCCUCGGCCAACCUCUGAAGCUGCUCCGCUCGGGGUUUUUCGGUGUUUUUUUAUGACGCUGUCGUAAAUGUCACAGGGGUUGCAAGGUGAGCGAGGAGAACAAAUGAAACUUAAUUUGAUUUCAAACCCCCCCAGGGAAAGUGUGUUGCGGACGAUGAUUCUCCUCACAGAGCCGAUUUCGAACACACACAGACAGACACUUCCAAAAACGAAACGCAAAAUUCGAUUUCCUGAAAAUGUUUUGAAGAUAAAUUGUCGUCGGUUAUGUGGCCGGGGAUUACAUAAACUCUCGCAUUCGCGGACAAACACCUGCAGCCUGGAUGGACGCUGCUUGGCGAACGGAAGAACCCAACGGGACGGGACUCACGUGCAAAAAUAAAAUGCAAAAAUGAUCAUUUCGAGAUAUGCGAAACGGGACAUGAACGCCGCUACGCUACGCCACGCCGCAGGAUACCAAACAGUGGAGGAAAUGCUGUCUACAUGGUCGUUCAUCCUCUCCUUUUUUUGGCUUGAAUUUCGGGACGAUACCAAAAAAUAUUGCAUUGAGAGGCAAUGGGCAGGCGUGGAUGUGGAGGAGGAGGAGCAGUUGCAGUUGCAUGGCCGCCCCAAAAGUUCGGCUCCUGGGGUUUUGGUCCAUUUCGGGUGCACGUCGUUAUCCUUGCCCCCGGAUGCACAACAAUCAAAAUAAACGGCUGCCAAAUUGACCAUUGACCAAACAACGUCAGCAGCAAGAGGUGGCCAAAAUGAGAGCAGAAAUGGCACGAUGAAGGAGUAGAGCCCAAUGCCCCAAUGGAGGAGUAGAGCCCAAUGGCCCGAUGAAGCAGCAGAAGCAGAGCGGCAAGCACCAAUGUCAAUAGAGGAGGCGAGAGGACAGCUGAAUGCCGAGUGGGGAAGCAAGCGAACUCAAUGUCCGAUGGAGCAGCAGCAGAAGGACGACAACUCACUGCUGAAUGCUGAAGGAUGUGUGUGGGAGUGGAAACUCCCACGUCACGCCCACUCCAGCGACAACUCACGGUUCAAGCAGCCAUCAAAGUUGUUUUUGGCAUCCGCCAAAGAAGAGAAUCCAAUUGAUGGAAACCUCAAAGCGAUUAAACGCGCUAGCUGCAGUCGUUUUCUACGGAUUAUUUCGAUUGUUCAAGGACUUAAAGGUGCAGCAGUGAAUGGCAGACUACUUUGAGGGAUAAGGAAUACCCAGGAACAUGGCUCAUAAGAUUUCCUACAAUCUAGAUCAUAAUUUUCCCCUAUCCAACAGCUCUCAUUCAUAAUUAACCAGAAAUGUUUGCCACUCGCGCCCGUCUGCCUCCAACCCCAACCCCAGCACAUCGAUUUGCGCGAUUUUAUUGCAGAAUAAUGAAAUCGCCAAGAGAUUCCAAUUCAAUCUACGCGCCGCGUAGGCCAUUUAUGGAUUGGCAUUGAUUUAAUACCGCAUCGUCUGCGUCGUCGUAGCGGCCGUCGCCAUCUCUCUACGAUCGCCUCCAGGUUUUGCUGCCAGGCGUCCCCUGAGCCCAAGGCGCAAGGCAUUUUGCACCUACCAAACAGAAGUAGAAGGAGCAGCCAGCAGCCAACAGCGGACUCCAAAGUCCGAAUUUGAUCUGAUUCUAGCCGCCUAUCGAAGCUGGAGAUCAACAGAAAGGAGCAGCAGCAGACGCCACCGCGGCGGAGGAUGGAUGGAGCUCCACUCGCGAAUGUAUAUUCAAUAAACUCGAUCUUCGAUGUAGCAGCAGUAGCAGCAGCAGCUGUGCUGACUGCCUGGCUGGCUGACUGUGCAUUCCAGCACAGAGGAGAACCACUCUCGACACAACUGUGGACUGUGGCCCCCAUUCAAGACAAGCCGCUGGAAUUUCUUGGUGCGUGCUCGGCACAGGUUCGGUCUCGGGUUCAGUUCAGGUUCAGGUUCAGCUGGUUAGCUUUGGCGUCUGCCAGCUGCGUCUCCUGAUUAUGAUAAUGGGGAGAGACCAGGCCAGGCCAGGCCAUUCCGAACCGGGGGCCGGGUAUAUGAUCGAAUGAUCGAAUGCUUGGCAGCUCCGUUGACUUUCUGAUUAAUGCAAGAAUGCUCCUUGGCGGCGUUCUUGCUUUUUGCUGACUGAUUCUUUCCGACUGCAAUUAAAAGUGUUGUUUACCCUUUAGCCAGGGACGAGGACAAGGACGGAACAAGGCAUCAAUUAGACGCUGAACAGAGGCCUCAAUGAAUGUCAAAGUGGAGCAAUUACUUUGCUCAAAGAGCAUCCGCAAGUCGUUGUGGUAGUGACCAGCACACUCAUCAGAUUGAUUCUUGACCGGCUGCCGGUAGUCUCCUGCUGUGUGUCUGAUGCCAGAUGCGGCCCCGUCCAGCCAGUCCCGGCAGCGGCAGUCGCCUCGUGCCUACCAGUUGUCAUAACGUUCAACACAUAUCUGCUGCCCCCUCGGUGGCGUCGUCGCCUGCGUCUUCGUCGUCGCCAUCACUGUGGUCAUCAUCGGUGUGGUGCUCAGGGCUCUCUGCGCUGCCAUAAAAGGAUUUGUCACGUGCGAGCUUUUGUUAAAAAUGCAACAAUCAUCAUCAUCGGAGGGCAAUCUCCAUUGCAGCAGCAACAGGAGCAGGAGGAGCAGCGGUGGCUCCCUGCAUUAUGCAUGUCGCAUUGCCGGAGCAGACAUCGUUCGGAGCAUUCCUUCGCUUGAAGGCAGGUCCUGGUCCAUAUGGCCAACGCCAGUCCCCCCACCAUCCACAGCAGAUCAUUGAAAUUUAUAAUUAAGUGGAAAUAUGUUGUCUACGAAGUAAAGAUUGCAGCAAGGAUCUUCAGAUUGAUGCUAAAGAUAUGAAUGGCACAGACAAAGGGCAGCAGCAGCAACAGCCGAGGAGUGGGUCCCACAAUUGGAAUAACAAAUGCAUUAGCAGUGACCAAACAAGGACCUAAUAAUGUACUCACAGGGGAUGUGCAUUGUGUAAAGAAUGGGCGCACCAUGGUACGAGCUCAUCCACAAUUACCGUUAGACUGAAGCACACACACACACACAGAGAGAGAUAGAGAGAGACGAGGCAGAGAACACAAAGAUAGAAGGCAAAUAAAGACAGUGUCCUGCUGCUGCUGUUGCUGCUGCUCCUGCUGCUGAUGGCCAUGGCUAAUUCAUGACUUUGACGACACUUUGGGCAAACAAUUGUCUAAAGACGAAGAAGAAGCAAGAGAAACACUCAGGAAUUGAUUAUGCAUGGAGUGUGUGUGUCGUUCUGUCUAUCUGUCUGUCCUCAUGUGUGCAUGCCAAUCAACUGGAGAAUCAAUCAAAAUGCAAUAGUACGUACGAUUGCCAAUCAAAGCUAAAUCCAAAGAAGAAGUCACUCCUGCAGAGGUGGCAAGCAGCUGCAGUCGAGCUUAAAAUGGAUAGCCAGGACCCACUCGGACUAUACACUCUUUUUCGAACAAGGGCAGCCAACCAAUGUAAGUAAGAACCACAUCAGGACAAACAGCAGGAGCAGCAGCAGAGCCACAGACACACGACGACGACGACCAGGCAAACAAUCAAAUGUCCAACCAGGCGUGACGCUCGGCCCUGAAGGAGCAGCAGAGCCAGUGGCAGAGGCAGAGCCAAAGCCAGCGUCUAUUUGCCGAGCGUACUUUUUGCAUUUGCCAAACAAGAGUGUGUGGUGUGCUGUGCUGUGGUACCCUUCCUUUUGCACUCUGUUUGAACAAGAGCCCAUACCGAGUGUACCGAGGUCCGAGGCGGUGCACAUACUUUGCACCUGUGUUUGCACCUAAAUCGAGUUUGAGGCCCAACACACAUGGCCGUAAAUCGUAGAUGGAGGAGGAACACUCACCACAUUCACAAAGUCCUGGAACGUUACAUAGCCCGGACCAGUGGGCACUUGGGCCUUCUUAGCUCGCUCCAGCAACAGCUCCCGCUUGUUCAUAGGCACUUGGGAUAGAAACUCCGGCGAUGUGAGGGCCGAUAGGAAUUCUGUGACGCAAAUUUCACCAAAACCUUCAGGAUCGAACUGGAAAUUAAGAAAGAAUUUGGUUAUGGGUUGAUCUAGUAGCGAGGAUUGCUUUUAAUUACCAUAUCAAAGAGGAGUUUCCAUUUCUGUGGGAGAUAAAAGAGAUGUUCUAGAAUUAGCAGAGGGUUUUUUGGUAUAAUUCCCAUAAAAACUCACAUCUCUCAGCAAUUCCCUGCGCAGUUCAGCCUCAUCAAAGUCAGAGUUUAGGGAGGCACUUACAUAUCUCAUUUGUGUAUGCGAUAUGGAUCCAAUGGAGGCCAGCGAGCCAGCUAUGGUGGAUAUAUGCUCGAUAUCGGCC